This 519-nucleotide ribosomal RNA is filed under the name Cariblatta sp. RMP_15021. RNAcentral describes it as "partial 16S ribosomal RNA". It matches the Rfam family "Bacterial large subunit ribosomal RNA", at positions 1831 to 2613 of the family's 2925-position model. The record is from RNAcentral. Lineage: Eukaryota; Metazoa; Arthropoda; Insecta; Blattodea; Pseudophyllodromiidae.
CUUUUUUUGUAAUUAUUGAAAAUAUAACCUGCCCACUGAUAAUAAUUGAAGGGCUGCGGUAAUUUGACCGUACAAAGGUAGCAUAAUCAUUAGUUUUUUAAUUGGGGGCUGGAAUGAAUGGUUGGACGAGAUAUAAACUAUUUAUAAUUAAUUAUCUUUGAAUUUAAUUUUUUAGUUAAAAAGCUUAAAUUUUAAUAUGGGACGAGAAGACCCUAUAGAGUUUAAUAAUUUAUAAAAAAUUAAAGUUAGAUAUAUUGUAUUUAUAUUAAAUUAUUUUGUUGGGGUGAUAGAAAAAUAGAUGUAACUUUUUUUUUAUUUUAAUAUUGAUAAGUAGAUAUAUGAUCCGUAUUUUACGAUAAAAAGACUAAAUUACCUUAGGGAUAACAGCGUAAUUUUUUUUGAAAGUUCAUAUUGACAAGAGUGAUUGCGACCUCGAUGUUGGAUUAAGAUAAAUUAUUGGUGAAGAAGUUAAUUAAUUAGGUCUGUUCGACCUUUAAAAUCUUACGUGAUCUGAGUUCA